GGCCGGGGGUGCCUUGACGAGGGGUGUCAAGCUCUUUAGACUCAUGCACCCCUUAAUCUCGCGGGGCGUUUCGCCUCGCGAAAUUUUUGUGUCGCAAGACAAUCAGUGGAGCUAGUAGA
Molecule: small RNA, 119 nt
Filed under: Pseudomonas sp. OF001
Lineage: Bacteria; Pseudomonadati; Pseudomonadota; Gammaproteobacteria; Pseudomonadales; Pseudomonadaceae
Description: rpsL_psuedo
Rfam family: Pseudomonas rpsL leader
Source: RNAcentral